AUAAUAGCGGGUCCUCUCGAAUCAUAGGAUGUCUGAACCCUUGAAUACUUAACUUUGUUGCUUUGGCGGGCCGCCUCCGGGCAUCGGCCAUGGCUGACUGUGCCCGCCAGAGGACCACAACUCUUUGUUUUGUGACGUCUGAGUACUAUUAAAUAUUUA
RNAcentral lists this unclassified non-coding RNA (159 nucleotides) under uncultured Hyalopeziza. RNAcentral's name for it is "sequence contains ITS1". The record is from RNAcentral. Lineage: Eukaryota; Fungi; Ascomycota; Leotiomycetes; Helotiales; Hyaloscyphaceae.